GCAAAAUAACUCAUCUGAUGAGCAGUUGCUAAUAAUCCUGUCGUUCAGCCAUGUGUACAACUAUGUAGCAGGCUUCUUUAAAAAUCUCCACUCGUAGCAACAGCGGUAGCCCAGUUCCUUUGGUGAUCAGUGCUGGAGUACAUGCGCAGCAAUGAACUGAUGAAAGGAAUAGUUUGCUUAAUAAUAAUCAGGAUUGACAGAAGAUGACUUCCAGGCAACAACAGACAUGAAAAUAUAGCGACACAAACAGAUAUUAUAGAUUUAAUUCAGUGAUUUGAAAUACAUCAGCCAACAUAAUUCCCAC
RNAcentral lists this long non-coding RNA (304 nucleotides) under Numida meleagris (helmeted guineafowl). Its description in RNAcentral is "lncRNA (ENSNMEG00000018709.1)". Lineage: Eukaryota; Metazoa; Chordata; Aves; Galliformes; Numididae. The record is from RNAcentral.